ACGCUCGACACCUACGAGAGGCAGCAGUGGGGAAUAUUGCACAAUGGGGGAAACCCUGAUGCAGCGACGCCGCGUGGAGGAAGAAGGUCUUCGGAUUGUAAACUCCUGUUGUUGGGGAAAAAGAGGAUGGUACCCAACAAGGAAGUGACGGCUAACUACGUGCAAGCAGCCGCGGUAAUCUGAGCGGGCUGGCAAGGC
This 198-nucleotide ribosomal RNA is filed under the name uncultured bacterium. RNAcentral describes it as "partial 16S ribosomal RNA". It matches the Rfam family "Bacterial small subunit ribosomal RNA", at positions 328 to 539 of the family's 1533-position model. The record is from RNAcentral.